UGCAAGGAUAAAAACGCAACGUGUAUCGCAAGAUAUGCCAGAGCCGGUAGGUAGCCCGGCCGUCCUGUUAUACAGGGUAAGUAACCUGCCCCUCCGGGUUGUCCGUUCUUUG
This 112-nucleotide non-coding RNA is filed under the name bovine gut metagenome. RNAcentral's name for it is "yjdF RNA". It matches the Rfam family "azaaromatic riboswitch aptamer (yjdF RNA)", at positions 6 to 91 of the family's 101-position model. The record is from RNAcentral.